RNAcentral lists this ribosomal RNA (274 nucleotides) under uncultured bacterium. Its description in RNAcentral is "partial 16S ribosomal RNA". It matches the Rfam family "Archaeal small subunit ribosomal RNA", at positions 473 to 747 of the family's 1478-position model. The record is from RNAcentral.
AAACCAGCACCUCAAGUGGUCAGGAGGAUUAUUGGGCCUAAAGCAUCCGUAGCCUGCUCUGUAAGUUUUCGGUUAAAUCUGUAUGCUCAACAUACAGGCUGCCGGGAAUACUGCAGAGCUAGGGAGUGGGAGAGGUAGACGGUACUCGGGAGGAAGUGGUAAAAUGCUUUGAUCUCUCGAUGACCACCUGUGGCGAAGGCGGUCUACCAGAACACGUCCGACGGUGAGGGAUGAAAGCUGGGGGAGCAAACCGGAUUAGAAACCCGGGUAGUCC